AGCUUUAUAUGACUCCACAGGAAGACUUCCGAAUAACACAUUUUAUUUUAUCCUCCUUUCUCCUCUCUCUCUCUCUCCACCAAAUCUCGAAAUCAUCUCACAAGUGAAAUCAGUGAGGCUCCGGCGAACCGAUUUGCCAAUAAAUCGGUUCAAACGGUGACGAAACAUGCCUCUCAAUCUUCAGGUUGCUUUUCCGGGAAGAAGACAUUGUUUGGAUUGAGUAGAGUUCGGAAAAAAAAAAUUAGGGGAUUGAACGAAAUUUAUUUGGGGAGAUACUGCGACCAUAUUAAAGAAAUUGGUGAAAGUAUAUAGAAAAAGAUUUCAGCAAAAUUUUUAGGAGCGUUAUAAAAUGCCUAUGGGAUUUCUACUCCGUAGAACUUUAUUAUAGGGAUUUGGAGAGUGGCAUGGUCAUUGAUUCGGGGGGGCAUCCUCGCCUUGUGAUCGUAUCAAAGAACACUCUGAUACUGAUGAUAUUACGAAAUACAUCGACUUCUUGGAGUGUGUGAUAUUACUAUGUUUUCUGUUGUAAUUAAUGGAAAAUUUCCGAGAAAGUUUAAGGGGAAUCUUACAUGAUAAGGGAACCUUAAAUCCAAAGUUCAUCCUGGAUGCAUAAUUUUUAUGGACUGAAGUUGAAAAAGUGCAGUUCAUGGAGAAAUUUGUAGGGUUGCUUUCUAUUGGGAGGUUCAAUGGUGCUGAAGUUGAAGGAAAUUUUGGUCAAGUUUUUUGGAUUGAAAAAAAUAAGGAACCGGUCUAAACUCUGGAAAUUUUUUGAGCGUAGUUUGAAGGAAGAUAGGUAUAGUACAGUUGAUGGGAUGAAAAUAAUUUUUGGUGAACUGCAAGGCGGUCUCACCAUUUCAAGGUUCUUUAAGAAUGCGUAUGGUCAUUCUAAUGACCCACGGAAGAAAAUUAACUAUUACACCAAGAUAUGUGAUCAUGUGUCUGUAUUUUGUUUAAACAUAACCACUUCUAUUUUUUUUUUGCUUUCUAUUCAUUUUGCAGCAUUUUGCAGAUGGAAUGCAAGACAGAGAUUGAAGUGACACAAGUGAAAAGAAUGGCAAUUGGUAGGGACCUGAUUUUUUAAUUUUCUCCCACCGUUUGUGUUAUUAAUUCGGUAAUUAUUUUAUUUUUUUUUAUACGAAUCAUGUUCAGUGGUAUUUGAGGAGUAACCCCGAGGAGGACUACUUUUUAUCAGACUGAAAAGUUAUAACAAACCGCUUGUAUGAUUUUUGUUUACUAUAUUUUCUAUUGUAGUUAAUGAAAAAUUUCCCCAGGUGCAGAAAGUUUAAGGUCAGGGAAAUUCCAAUGUCUCUUUGCUUAAUUGUGAACUCUAUGAAUGUGCCAUCUGUACUUGUUAAUGAAGACAUUUGAGAAGUUGCA
This is a long non-coding RNA of Cornus florida, 1377 nucleotides long. RefSeq lists it as uncharacterized. The record is from RefSeq and is a predicted model, not a curated record. NCBI's taxonomy places the organism in Eukaryota, Viridiplantae, Streptophyta, Magnoliopsida, Cornales, Cornaceae. The transcript is spliced from 5 exons.